UCACCUGAAGCUACCCUACGGAGGUUUACGCUCCGACGCUCUCAGGUGUGACUCCUACCUGUUGGACGGGUUUCCGGCCAAGAAGUCGCUAGCUGGAGAGAUCGCUGGUCGUGAGUCGCGUUGGCAGUCGAAGAUCGCGCUCCAAACACAACUGACACGUCGGCGGCAAACGCAGUUACCAACUCUCGAUCGACCCCCCGACCAGAGAGCUGGAGUUCAACUCGAAAGUGAUAAAUGCAUAUUUAAAAAAAAAAGAAUAAUAAACUAAAAAUAAAACAAACUCAAGUGCCGCGAAGCUCGUGGAAAAAACGCGAUUAAAACGUGCUACCAAUCGUGGUCGUGCCGCGAUGUCAUUUAAUGCAACGCUCGGCACAUUCUUUUAAACGCUUUUGCUAAAUCGUUGUCUUUUUUGUUGAAAUUCAGAUUGCAGCACUCGCACUCGCAGCAUAAUUGUGCUCGAAUCUUACACA
This is a non-coding RNA of Drosophila bipectinata, 470 nucleotides long. The record is from RefSeq and is a predicted model, not a curated record. NCBI's taxonomy places the organism in Eukaryota, Metazoa, Arthropoda, Insecta, Diptera, Drosophilidae.